AUACGUAGGUGGCAAGCGUUAUACGGAUUUACUGGGCGUAAAGGGCGUGUAGGCGGUAUAACAAGUCAGAUGUGAAAUCUCCCGGCUCAACCGGGAGCGUGCAUCUGAAACUGGUAUACUUGAGCGCUGGAGGGGAAAGCGGAAUUCCUAGUGUAGCGGUAAAAUGCGUAGAUAUUAGGAGGAACACCGGUGGCGAAGGCGGCUUUCUGGACAGUAACUGACGCUGAGGCGCGAAAGCGUGGGGAGCAAACAGGAUUAGAUACCCUGGUAGUCCACGCCAUAAACGAUGAAUACUAGGUGUAGGGGGUAUCGACCCCCUCUGUGCCGAAGUUAACACAUUAAGUAUUCCACCUGGGGAGUACGGCCGCAAGGCUGAAACUCAAAUGAAUUGACGGGG
This 397-nucleotide ribosomal RNA is filed under the name uncultured bacterium. Its description in RNAcentral is "partial 16S ribosomal RNA". It matches the Rfam family "Bacterial small subunit ribosomal RNA", at positions 523 to 918 of the family's 1533-position model. The record is from RNAcentral.